UGAAACUUUCCAGUUGGUUAGGUAACAACGUUCUGUAGGAUUAACCAAUGAUAAUGACAGACCAACCAACGAAAAAAGAAGUUGCUCCUUGUAGUUUUCCUAAGCUUAUAAAGUUGAUUCCUUUUCUGUCACAUCCAUGUCUAACUUUCACACUUGUGUUCUUGAAAAGCAGACUAAUCAAUGCUCAUAUGACCAUGAAUUUCUUGUCCUUUUCCAUGGACUAAAAAAGCGUAUGCACAUGCAUGUUUUCUCUAAAAUGGCUUGAUGGUUGGUUCAUUGCAAAUAUCUGAAUUGCUCCCGCAUUUGAUAAUCACGAAGGAAGAUUCAAUUAGAUGGGUUAUUAAUGCCUAACAAAUAUAUCCUCUUUCUUAUCAGAUAGGGAUUGUAUGGUUCUUGUACAUAGACAAUUGCUAGGUUUUGUGAAAUGUGCAGAUAAGGUGUUUCUCUUUUGUUGAUAUUCUUGCAGAGAUCUGAUUAGCUUAUGGAAAAUGGUUGCUGGAAACACCAUAACAUGAUUAUGUUUUAGUAGCUGAAGAUAUUAGUUGAGGCAGAUUGAUCAUCAAUGGCCUACUACAGCUCCUGCUAUGAUGAUGAUUAUCAGAGUGAGUACUAUAACGCUACAACUAUAAUGAGCACCAAAUUUUUGCCCAUGAUCCGCUUCCUUAUUAUGAUUUACGAUCGUGUCUCAAGUUUACACAAGAAUUGCAUGCUCUGCCUCUACUUUCUGUGAGCCUGUGUGUAUUGAGAAUGAUCCUGGUCCUUGCUAUCAUGAACAGACGCGGUUCAUUGUCUCGUAUAAGGUCUCCGAGUUUAACGAGACUGAGUUCGAAGAAUACGAUCCAACUGCUUUUGGUGGUGGCUAUGAUCCUGCUGCAACUUACGGAAAACCUCUUCCUCCCUCGGACAAAAUUUGUUACCCUAGUUCAACGCCGGAUCCGAAUGCCUUAUCAUUAAUGGUGUCUCCUAUGGAUCGAUUACAGCACCUUACGGAAAAGUUGAAGUCAAUGAACCUGCUCCGAAACCUCGAAGUGAAAGGAAACCGCUUAGGCUUCCUGCUAUUGAAGCAGCGCCGCUGUCCCCUUGAACAUGGCAAUGGCAAAGGAAAUUCCCAAGAGAAGUCUCUAGUCUUGCAUAAAGGUGAAGAAAGUGAGGAAAACGAGGGUGAUCAUCACGAUUCUUUGCCUGGCUAUGAUGCUGGAUAUUGCAAUGGAUCAAGUGGAGAACUUGGUUACGAGUAUGGCCAGGAAGUGCACAAAUUCCAUCAGGAUAUAUAUGGCUUGGAAGCAAUGGACCUUUGUGAAAGUUAUUUGGUUACUGGCCUUGUCUUUCUAGCAUGCUAGGAAUGACAAUGAUCGUCAACAAGCUACUGAUUGUGGAAGUUAUGGGAACCAAGGAAGGGAACUGCUGAUUAUCUAUUUGGAAGCUGAUCAAAUCCUUAUGCUGAAAGAAGGGAUGCAGGCAGCAGCUAUGGGAAUGCUAUCUAUGUCCAUGGGAGGCAUUAUCAAGAGGAAAUUCUCUAUUAACAGGUCAAGUAUAUAUGUUGAGGAUUGCUGGUCAGCUUGAGCAUGUUGCGCGGUCAUUUGUGCAUCUUCUUGAAUUAUUCAUCCAUUCCAGCCAAAAGGGUGGGUUUUUA
RNA transcript from Populus trichocarpa (black cottonwood), 1633 nucleotides. RefSeq lists it as uncharacterized. The record is from RefSeq and is a predicted model, not a curated record. Lineage: Eukaryota; Viridiplantae; Streptophyta; Magnoliopsida; Malpighiales; Salicaceae. The transcript has 2 exons.